This 351-nucleotide small nuclear RNA is filed under the name Cebus imitator (Panamanian white-faced capuchin). RNAcentral describes it as "7SK RNA (ENSCCAG00000009888.1)". It matches the Rfam family "7SK RNA". Rfam says of the family: 7SK was discovered as an abundant small nuclear RNA in the mid-70s but a possible function has only recently been suggested. Two independent studies have found that 7SK RNA binds the CDK9/cyclin T complex (known as elongation factor P-TEFb). The record is from RNAcentral. Lineage: Eukaryota; Metazoa; Chordata; Mammalia; Primates; Cebidae.
GGUUGUGACGGUGAUCUGGCUGCGACAUCUGCCACCCCAUUGAUUGCCAGGGUCAAUUCAGCUGAUCUGGCUGGCUAGGCGGGUGUCCCCUUCCUCCCUCACCGCUCCAAGUGUGUCCCUCCCGAAGCUGCACGCAGGGUCGAAAAGGACGACCAUCCCUGAUAGAGAAGGGCGGGUCUUUGGUCAAGGGUAUAGGAGUAGCUGCGCUCCCCUGCAAGAAACUCCAAACAAGCUCUCAAGAAAUGAAUCUCUUUAGCAAGGGGAGAAAUGCCAGAUGUAGGUCAUGGGGAGGAAGGCAGCAAAUCACACUGCCACGUGUGUUCCUAUGCAACAAUUUUGCAUGUUCUUCAC